Molecule: long non-coding RNA, 1038 nt
Organism: Oreochromis aureus
Lineage: Eukaryota; Metazoa; Chordata; Actinopteri; Cichliformes; Cichlidae
Exons: 4
Source: RefSeq, a predicted model, not a curated record
CCAACUAUGGAAAGUGAAAGCAUGACAGCAAACAACAAACCGUCAGGAGAUUCACAACAUGAUUUUGUAUCUUUGAGGUUCAUAAUUGUCUCUGUGGGAUUGGCAGCACUUUCAAUAACAGCUGUGACAGUCAACAUGUGGACAAAAACUAAAGGGAAGAAAACACAGAUGGAUAAAAACACACUGACACACUGAAAGAAAACCAGCAGGAUGCAAAGCAAAAGAAUUUGAACAACAAAUCACAAAUGAACAAAACGCGACGCACCCCACUGCGCAAGGUGACGUCAGAGUGACGUUUUUAUACGUCAGUCCACUGAAGGGAUUGUUUUGGAACGCCAGGCGACGUCUUUUUUCUGAUGUCUACUUAAAGUUAAGUGUUGAUAUCUGUACGGUCUCCGUGUACGGGCUAUUUAUAGUCCAAAUUUGGUUGUGGACGACUUUUCAACGUCAAACUUAGACUCACUUUUCACGUCGUUUUUUUACUGCUUCUAUGAGCUCUGUGGUCCCAUGUUUCCAGAGGGUGGAGGACAUGGUUUCUAUAGGCCACCAGUUGAUUUUUCUGUAGCUUUAUUUAUAGCUUUGUCUGUCUCCAGUUAUCAUCUGUGGCUGAGACAAUGAAAUGAAGUUAUUAGAAAAUGAUCUGGAACAGUAUGCCAUCUGAAAUUGGACCAGUUCAUACCAGUUAUGUAUGAAGGAAUGCAGAGAGGUCAGCGAGCAUCUCCAGGAUGGCGAGGGAUCUUGAACUAAAACUAAAGUGAGCAGCUGCUCGGUGGAUUUCAAGCAGAUACUCCAGUUCAUACAUACACACUUCUACAAACUUCUCGUACUUUCCAUCGCAAAUUCUCACAGUCCAGCUACUGAUCACAACCACAUUCACUUCCUUUUACAAUCAUGAUAAAACAGUAUACUUGUAAAAUUAAACCAUAUAUAUUUCAAAUGCUCUUUUACAAUUAUUAAACACAUUGUACUCCUUUUAAAUAGAAUUCAAAUUUUUUUUCUAAAUACUUUAACCAUUAUUAUUUUAAAUUUUAACAUGGA